RNAcentral lists this ribosomal RNA (253 nucleotides) under uncultured bacterium. RNAcentral describes it as "partial 16S ribosomal RNA". It matches the Rfam family "Bacterial small subunit ribosomal RNA", at positions 524 to 776 of the family's 1533-position model. The record is from RNAcentral.
UACGUAGGGAGCUAGCGUUGUCCGGAAUCAUUGGGCGUAAAGCGCGUGUAGGCGGUCCGGUAAGUCCGCUGUGAAAGUCGGGGGCUCAACCCUCGGAUGCCGGUGGAUACUGUCGGGCUUGAGUACGGAAGAGGCGAGUGGAAUUCCUGGUGUAGCGGUGAAAUGCGCAGAUAUCAGGAGGAACACCGGUGGCGAAGGCGCCACUCUGGGCCGAAACUGACGCUGAGGAGCGAAAGCGUGGGUAGCAAACAGG